Molecule: ribosomal RNA, 417 nt
Filed under: Streptomyces sp. ABS-112
Lineage: Bacteria; Bacillati; Actinomycetota; Actinomycetes; Kitasatosporales; Streptomycetaceae
Description: bacterial SSU rRNA
Rfam family: Bacterial small subunit ribosomal RNA
Source: RNAcentral
CGGGGGCCCGCACAAGCAGCGGAGCAUGUGGCUUAAUUCGACGCAACGCGAAGAACCUUACCAAGGCUUGACAUAUACCGGAAAGCAUCAGAGAUGGUGCCCCCCUUGUGGUCGGUAUACAGGUGGUGCAUGGCUGUCGUCAGCUCGUGUCGUGAGAUGUUGGGUUAAGUCCCGCAACGAGCGCAACCCUUGUUCUGUGUUGCCAGCAUGCCCUUCGGGGUGAUGGGGACUCACAGGAGACUGCCGGGGUCAACUCGGAGGAAGGUGGGGACGACGUCAAGUCAUCAUGCCCCUUAUGUCUUGGGCUGCACACGUGCUACAAUGGCCGGUACAAUGAGCUGCGAUGCCGCGAGGCGGAGCGAAUCUCAAAAAGCCGGUCUCAGUUCGGAUUGGGGUCUGCAACUCGACCCCAUGAAG